CGCGUAGGCGGUUUCGUAAGUCCCGUGUGAAAGCCCCCGGCUCAACCGGGGAACUGCACGGGAAACUGCGAGGCUUGAGUUCGGGAGAGGGAAGCGGAAUUCCGGGUGUAGCGGUGAAAUGCGUAGAUAUCCGGAGGAACACCAGUGGCGAAGGCGGCUUCCUGGACCGAUACUGACGCUGAGGCGCGAAAGCUAGGGGAGCAAACGG
This 208-nucleotide ribosomal RNA is filed under the name uncultured bacterium. RNAcentral describes it as "partial 16S ribosomal RNA". It matches the Rfam family "Bacterial small subunit ribosomal RNA", at positions 568 to 775 of the family's 1533-position model. The record is from RNAcentral.